UGUUUCUCUAGCAUAUCGAUCUAUUUCGGCUUAUUUGUGAUACCUGGUCAUGGUUGGGCCGUAUUUGAAAUCUAAUCUUUAAUAUAAGUGGUGAUGCCUUAAAUUCUUGUGUGCACAAUUAAGAAGUGCAUACAGGAGUACCGAAGAGUUUUCAUUAAGUCGAUUCUGACUUUACAAAGUGCAAAAUAAAUGCUUUUAUUGAAGAAUUUUGAGGAAGACUGAUAGCCUUCUUUUAUGGUUCGCGUUUGCUGCAUCUUUAAGUUCAAAGUUCGUUUAUUCUUUUAUAUAUAUACUUGGUGCUACUGUUAUCCUUUUCACAGUUCCUAUAUAUUUGUGGCAAUUUCGGUUCAAAGUCUAUAACAUUUGUUGUUUGCUUCAGAUGAACAUAGUAGUAAUUUUACUGUUUAAACUUCGGUUAUAAAGAUAGCAAACAGAACCGUGAACACCCUUAGCUCUAGCUCUAAAUCUAAGGAAUUACUAUUAAUGAAAGUGGAAUUGUCUGCUAUGAUGAUGGAAAAAGCUUUAUUGAAGGUAGAUAAAAAAUAAUUUUCUACCAAAUGGAAAAAGUCUUAUUGUUGUUGAAUCUUGUUGCCUAUAUAUGUGUUUCCAGUUUAGUUUUUGUAAUGCCUAGUUUGGAACCAGAAAGAGUUCAAACUCUCACUUGAUUUUGAAUACUUCUUGAUUUACAAGAGACUUUAGUGGAAGUUUAAAAGAAUUAACACCUACAGUCGAUGGAAUUUUUUUUAGUUGGGAACAUAUAAUAGAUGCCGUCAAGGUUUUUUUCUUUAUAUUUCUAACUUUGCCACGGGAAACAACGCCUUAAGUUUAAACACUUCCAUUAUGCUUGUCACAAUUAUUGUUUUAUUGCGUUUUAAAAUGGACUUUGAUUCUUGGUUAAUGCAUCUCGAAACUUUUCUAAUUAAUUUUUCUUAUACUCUUGCAGCCUUGAUGAUUUUGCUGGAUAACACCUAAUGAAUUUAUUAGAUUGCUUUUAGGGUUUUGAAGAUUGAAUUUGACAAGUCAAGAUGGAAGUUUAGAAGAUGCACAAGCUCAUUAUUUUGCUAGGAAUGUUAUGCACUCGCUAUCGUAGUCUAGCUCGAGUGUUAGCAAUGUUUUUUUGUUAAGGUGUCGAGCAAAUAUUGAAACUAACAUCAUGGGAUGUUAACAAUUUUACUGUAAUUAAUAACUUUAUCUUCCUCUUUAUAUAAAUAACGCUUUUGUAUCUA
Long non-coding RNA from Lycium ferocissimum, 1226 nucleotides. RefSeq lists it as uncharacterized. The record is from RefSeq and is a predicted model, not a curated record. Lineage: Eukaryota; Viridiplantae; Streptophyta; Magnoliopsida; Solanales; Solanaceae. The transcript is spliced from 4 exons.